CCCGAUCGGACCCCGGACGUGAAGUCGACGAUGGUCGGUGGGCUGGUUUUGGUAAGCAGAACGGGCGAUUCGGGAUGAACCGGAAGCGGGGAGAAAGGGCCCGAGAUUGCGUCGACGCGGAUCCCGAAAAGGGCGUCGAUCCGUCGCGACAGCGGGACGGUGGUCAUGGAAGUCGAAAUCCGCUAAGAAGCGUGUAAAAACGUACCCGCCCAACGGAUCGGCCCCGAAAAUUGAUGGCGCUCGAACGCAACCCUCGAACCCCGCCGACGGAGGCUAGGGGAGGCCCCGUCGAGUAGGCGGACGCGCGGGUCGCUUCGACGCUCUCGCGCGAGCGGGGGCGGAGCGGCCCGUGGUGCAGAUCUUGGUGGUAGUAGCGAUCACCCAGGCGAGAACCCUGAGGGCCGAAGUGGAGAAGGGUUUCUCGAGAACGGC
This 432-nucleotide ribosomal RNA is filed under the name uncultured eukaryote. Its description in RNAcentral is "eukaryotic LSU rRNA". It matches the Rfam family "Eukaryotic large subunit ribosomal RNA", at positions 1090 to 1521 of the family's 3401-position model. The record is from RNAcentral.